Lynx canadensis (Canada lynx) is the source of this 1603-nucleotide long non-coding RNA. RefSeq lists it as uncharacterized. The transcript has 2 exons. Lineage: Eukaryota; Metazoa; Chordata; Mammalia; Carnivora; Felidae. The record is from RefSeq and is a predicted model, not a curated record.
GGCGCGACCAACGGUGAAGCCCGGACGCUGGCGCCGCGGGGGGGGUCACACUCCCCACCCCCCGCGGGCCUCAACCCCAUGGCCCCAAGGCCUGGGACCUCUCCGGACCGGUAACCUCCCCACCGCGCGGACAGGCAGCUUCCCGCGGUGGAAACUCUCGUGGGAGAGUGGCUCCGCAGCCUGGCUCCCGCUGUCGGGCGCCUUAUUCCAUCGAUACAAAUUGAGUUACCUCCUCUGCGUACAUUCUUCCCCAGACUUGCCGUGGUGCCUCCAACCUUGGCCUGUAUCCCCUUGUUCACUAAGCUUCAGUGGCGCAAACGUUACCUUUCCUCCAAAAGCCAUAUGGCCCUGAUAGCAGUAUCACUGAGAAGAUAAAAAAAAAACUCAGCUCCAGCAUCCUCUGCCACUCUUCUCAAAGUAUUUCUGUCUGCACCAUCAAUUUUGUGAACUGUUGUCAAGUACCUGGAGGAACAGGAGCCUCUUUUCCCUUCUAAGUUGCCAACCCUUGGCCUGCUGGCUUCAUCUCACCUCCGUUCAGAUAUUCUUCCCCUGCUUUGCACUGGGUUCCUCCUUUCUGCUUUCAGACUGAAUGGAACUCGCCUAUCUGGGGAGUUGGGGUGGGGGGGGGCGGCGGUGAGGGUGGAGGUAAUCUUUAUUUAUCCCUUUCCAAGCUGUUUCCCUUUUUCUCUCAUUCCUUUCACAGCCAAAAUGCCCAGACAAAUCCUUCACACUUGUUCCUCCCUUUUCUCCAAGGAUCUCCUUGAUAAGCUCAGUCACCUUUUUCACAGUGUUUUUUUUUUCCCUUGACCUCACUGCAAUGCAAGAAAAUUAUGACUCACUUCCACUUGUAAAAUUCUCCCUUGACAUUGCCCUAGUAUGGUUCAGUCACCCUUUCUUCCUUGCUGGCUCUUCUUUCUCAUUUAGCCCUUUGGGUGGGUGGGCAUUUGCCCCAGGUUCUAUUCUCAACCUUCUUGUUUCUCUUUACCUGCUGUCCUGGGACAACAUAUUACAAUUGCCCAUCUCCAGCCUUGAUCUGCUUCAUAAACUCUAACUUCACAUUCCCUCCAACCAGUAAGACAUCAUCGUCCAGAGGACUCAUUACCUCUAGUCAGCAUGUCAAAAAAUAUUGAUACUUCCCUUCAAAAUCAAUUUGUCUCCCUUUUACUCAGUUUUUGUCCGCAUUACCUUGACUCCCAGGUACGACUGCCACUUUUCCAUCCUCAUCUUUAAUUCACCUAUAGGACUCUCAAAAAUCUUUUCUUUAUCAGAUUCCUCAACUCCACUAAUGUGUUUCCAUUGCCACCUAUCUUGCCAAGAUCGCUUUGCUAAGUCAACUGCCAUCAUUCACCCCAGAAUCCUUGGUGUUCCCCAGGAUUUUGUCCUCAUCAGUAUCUCUAGGGAUACAGAUUGUCUCCUCCCUUUUUCAAUUCACCCACUACAUGUAGUCAGAUGUCACGUUCUAUUGAAUCUAACUUCCUAAUGUCCUAAUGAGGCUUUUUAACUUCCACAUUCUCAUCAUCAGUACCUCAGAGAUAUUUCCAAGAUUAUAAUUGCUUCUUUUACCCCUACGGUGACAUCAAAUAAAUCUUCAUUCCCCUAAAAA